RNAcentral lists this unclassified non-coding RNA (320 nucleotides) under plant metagenome. RNAcentral describes it as "partial contains 5.8S ribosomal RNA, internal transcribed spacer 2, and large subunit ribosomal RNA". The stretch from base 1 to 105 matches the Rfam family "5.8S ribosomal RNA", at positions 50 to 154 of the family's 154-position model. The record is from RNAcentral.
GAAAUGCGAUAAGUAAUGUGAAUUGCAGAAUUCAGUGAAUCAUCGAAUCUUUGAACGCACAUUGCGCCUAUUAGUAUUCUAGUAGGCAUGCUUGUUCGAGCGUCAUUUCAACCCUCAAGCCCUGGUUGCUUGGUGUUGGGAGCUUGCUGUGAAACGCAACUCCUCAAAGCUAGCUGGCAGAGUCGGGAUGCACUCUAAGCGUAGUAAACUUGAUAGUCUCGCUUCUGCAGUUGUCCCGGCCGUCUUGCCAUAAAAGCCCAAACUUUUUUGUUUUCUAUGGUUGACCUCGGAUCAGGUAGGAAUACCCACUGAACUUAAGC